Molecule: ribosomal RNA, 957 nt
Filed under: Streptomyces actuosus
Lineage: Bacteria; Bacillati; Actinomycetota; Actinomycetes; Kitasatosporales; Streptomycetaceae
Description: partial 23S ribosomal RNA
Rfam family: Bacterial large subunit ribosomal RNA
Source: RNAcentral
AAUUAUCAUUGAGUGAAAUUAAGGAUGUUUUUUUUUAAUACAAUCAGGAAAUAGGCUUAGAAGCGGCCAUUUUUUGAAGACCUCGUAACAGAGCACUGAUUAAACUUUUUAGAAAAAAACACCGAAAAUUUAACGGAUCUAAAUGAUAUACCGAAACCUUGUACACAUAUGUAUAAUAAUAAAAUAUUGUCUAUGUGGGGUAGCGGAACGUUGGAUAAAUAUUAAUUAUUAUUUCUUAUUAAGAAAUAAUAAGUAUGGUUAAUUAACCAUCAAUAUAAUCCAAGAGAUAAUGCUGACAUGAGUAACGAAAAAGGAAUAACCUCGCCUUAAGCUUAUGGUAUUAUAUUUAAUUUUCGGUGUCUAAAAGUAUUAAUCAAAAGGUAAUUUUGAUGAUAUUUAUAUAUAAAUACUUAAAAGUUAAAAACAAAACCUUUAAUAAGUAAUAAAGGUUCUGGAAAAUUUUUAAACUUUAUAUAAAAAUUAUUAACUUUCGGUAAUAGCCUUAUAAAUUAUUAUCGAUAUAUUAUAUUGUAUAUAUAUUAUAAUUUGUUACAAGUUUGACAAAAUUGUAUUGUAAAUUCAAUAUAAUAGAAAAAUUAAUAAUUAAAAUAUAUAUUUAUAUUAAUAUUAUUGUAUUUAUAAUAAGGCUAAUAUACAAUUAAUAUUAAUAUAUUAAGGUUUAUAUAUACCGUACCUAGAUACUAUCACAAGUAAGCAAGUAGAGAAUACAAAGGCGUUUGAGCGAACAAUCAUUAAGGAACUCGGCAAAUUGACUACCGUAACUUCGGGAUAAGGAGGGCCAUUAUCAUAAGUUUAACAUAUUUAAAAGGUAUGAUAAUUAAACUUAUGGUAAGAGGAAACAUAAAAUAAUGUUGUACGACUGUUUAAUAAAAACACAGCACUCUGCAAAGAUAAAAUAUCAAAGUAUUGAGUGUGAUGUCUGACCACUGUCGGCUG